This 253-nucleotide ribosomal RNA is filed under the name uncultured bacterium. Its description in RNAcentral is "partial 16S ribosomal RNA". It matches the Rfam family "Bacterial small subunit ribosomal RNA", at positions 524 to 776 of the family's 1533-position model. The record is from RNAcentral.
UACGUAGGGGGCAAGCGUUGUCCGGAAUCAUUGGGCGUAAAGAGCGUGUAGGCGGUCCGGUAAGUCGGUUGUGAAAGCCCAGGGCUCAACCCUGGGAUGCCGACCGAUACUGUCGGACUAGAGUUCGGAAGAGGCGAGAGGAAUUCCCGGUGUAGCGGUGAAAUGCGCAGAUAUCGGGAGGAACACCUAUGGCGAAGGCAGCUCGCUGGGACGUUACUGACGCUGAGACGCGAAAGCGUGGGGAGCAAACAGG